RNAcentral lists this ribosomal RNA (888 nucleotides) under uncultured marine group I thaumarchaeote. RNAcentral describes it as "SSU rRNA". It matches the Rfam family "Archaeal small subunit ribosomal RNA", at positions 13 to 908 of the family's 1478-position model. The record is from RNAcentral. Lineage: Archaea; Thermoproteati; Nitrososphaerota.
CCUGCCGGACCUGACUGCUAUCGGAUCGAUACUAAGCCAUGCGAGUCAUUGUAGCAAUACAAGGCAGACGGCUCAGUAACGCGUAGUCAACCUACCCUAUGGACGGGAAUAACCUCGGGAAACUGAGUAUAAUGCCCGAUAGAACAUUAUGCCUGGAAGGGUUUAUGUUCCAAAUGAUUUAUCGCCGUAGGAUGGGACUGCGGCCUAUCAGUUUGUUGGUGAGGUAAUGGCCCACCAAGACUAUUACAGGUACGGGCUCUGAGAGGAGUAGCCCGGAGAUGGGUACUGAGACACGGACCCAGGCCCUAUGGGGCGCAGCAGGCGAGAAAACUUUGCAAUGUGCGAAAGCACGACAAGGUUAAUCCGAGUGGUUUCUGCUAAAGGAACCUUUUGUUAGUCCUAAAAACACUAACGAAUAAGGGGUGGGCAAGUUCUGGUGUCAGCCGCCGCGGUAAAACCAGCACCUCAAGUGGUCAGGAUGAUUAUUGGGCCUAAAGCAUCCGUAGCCUGCUCUGUAAGUUUUCGGUUAAAUCUGUAUGCUCAACAUACAGGCCGCCGGGAAUACUGCAGAGCUAGGGAGUGGGAGAGGUAGACGGUACUCGGGAGGAAGUGGUAAAAUGCUUUGAUCUCUCGAUGACCACCUGUGGCGAAGGCGGUCUACCAGAACACGUCCGACGGUGAGGGAUGAAAGCUGGGGGAGCAAACCGGAUUAGAUACCCGGGUAGUCCCAGCCGUAAACUAUGCAAACUCAGUGAUGCAUUGGCUUGUGGCCAAUGCAGUGUUGCAGGGAAGCCGUUAAGUUUGCCGCCUGGGAAGUACGUACGCAAGUAUGAAACUUAAAGGAAUUGGCGGGGGAGCACCACAAGGGUGAAGCCUGCGGUUCAAUUG